Molecule: long non-coding RNA, 1440 nt
Organism: Amaranthus tricolor (Joseph's coat)
Lineage: Eukaryota; Viridiplantae; Streptophyta; Magnoliopsida; Caryophyllales; Amaranthaceae
Exons: 4
Source: RefSeq, a predicted model, not a curated record
UAUUUUCAUUACUCCUAAUCCUUAAGCCCAAGUUUUAUUUCAUCUUAAAUCAAAAACAGUAAUACACCUUCUACUCUCAAACCCUUCUUCUUCCUUCUCCUUCUCUUUCUUUAAUUUUCACAAGUAGUUGCAGCAAUCAUCUUUAUCUCAUUCUUGAUUUUGAUUCAAUACAGCAAGCGAAAUUACCAUCUCAUUCUCUCCUUGUUACGAAUUGCAGUUAACACUAUUUUCUCGUCUUUUCUGAAAUUUCGUAGCUAAUACAGCAAAUCCAAUAUGAGCAGGUUGUUCUUCUUCAUUUCAUCCAUUUCGGUCAAAUACAGUAAAUCCUCCUCCUUGGUUUUGAUUUUCGAAGAACAGGAUCCCUUAUUUUGCAUCUGAUUAUAGAAUUAGGGAUAAAGCAACAGCAGUUGAUUCUUGUAAACACAACAACAAGCAACAUCUGUUCAUCGGUGACCAGCCUUGAUUCUUCCUUGUUCUUGUGAGUUUCGAAAGAAGCAAACCACGGAACCUUCUUCCCAAAUCUGAUUUCUGAGCGACAUUACCUUCUUUGGGUUUCAAUUGCUGCCAUUUUAUUGAGGAUAUGACUAUGUCGAGGAGCCCUUCUAAUUGAUUUCGAUGAACCGGUUUUGACUCUUUGAAGCAUUAUUGUUGUUUGUUUGCAGAACGGAAUCGGUCGGAAUGAUGGGUUAGCGGUGAUGAAUAAAGUUACAAAGAUGUUAUAUUGAGCUGAGUACGUGAGAAGUGUAGUAUUGUAUUAGGUUUUUGAUAAAUGUAUAUUAGACUUGGUUGUGUUGGUUAUAUCAACUUAUAGAGUGACUUUGAUGAUUACUUUGUAUUUUAGUUAGAUGAUUGGAUUCAGAAGUAGCUGAUACAACUAUGUCUUAGAACUGGUGGCCCUUUUUCACAAGUUUUGGAAUUAAGAUUUAAGUUUCUUGGGAAAUAAACUCUGUGAUGACCCUGUUUCCUCAGUCAACAAUAAGUCGGGUUGUUACAAUUUUUUCAAAAAACAUCACUAAACGUGAUAUAACUUUAAUAUUAACAUGCAAAGCUUAGAUAAGUCAAAUAAACAUAUUCUUAUGCUUUUCAUAUCAUCAAGUAAACGCAAAAUAAAUACUACAUAAUAAAAGAGUUAAGAAAAUAUGUACUAUAAGCCACCAAGGAUGCAAGAGAAAUAAUAGGAAAUAAGAACUCCAAAACAAGAGAAGAUAAGCUCAAAGAAUAAUAUUCAAGGUUUUAAGUAUAAUAAUCCAAACUCUCAAAAAUAAUACUUGAAACCUUACACAAGUUGAUGAUUUUGGCUUAGAAAAUGAUAAGAUUAAUUUCUAUCUUCUUGCCUAACUCCAAUUCUUAAUUCCAAAUUCAACUUAAAGUACAAUCUCUCACAAUCACAAGUACCUUUUCGGGCAUGUCUUACUAAAAUGCUUAUAACUUCUAACUCCA